This 881-nucleotide long non-coding RNA is filed under the name Anser brachyrhynchus (Pink-footed goose). Its description in RNAcentral is "lncRNA (ENSABRG00000008416.1)". The record is from RNAcentral. Lineage: Eukaryota; Metazoa; Chordata; Aves; Anseriformes; Anatidae.
UUAGUCACAUGGUCUGAAUUUUUUGGUAGACCCGUGUGGUGCCAGGAGUUGGACUCAAUGAUCCUUGUGGGUCCCUUCCAACUCGGGAUAUUCUAUGAUUCUAUGAUUCUGUGGUAACUUCUGUUUGAUGUUGGCCAUGUGUUGUCACCAGGAGCACAGGCGGGGCAUGGAGUGGUGACCCAGUGCCAAGCCAAAAGACAGCAGGGGCCUGUGCUGCCUCUCCCAACACACCUCUGAGUUCAGCAACCUCUGGCUCUCACCUAUGGAGGGUGACUCCUGCUUGGAGCUGGCAGCACCCACAUGCUGAGUGUGAGCCUGGCUCAUCUGAUGGCCAGCCUAGAGGUCCGUUUGCAAAACUGAAGUAUGGAGUAGCUAGCAAGUCGGAGGUGGAACAUGCACAAGCGUUGAUCACAACAAACAGUGAAGCCACUCAUCUGCAUCCUGUUUCCUGGAACAACCGAGCUCAGUUACAACCUCAGUUGCAUCUGUGCAUCCCAGUGGUUUUCAGCUAACUCUGUGACUCCUGCUUACCCAGAUAAGGGGAAGCAGAUGGAGACUCUGCAACCUCAGAAGAAGUGCUGCAGUGGUGGAGAGGGUUCACCUUACUGCCUGCAGUGCAGAGAGCCUCUACAGAGGCACUGACUGUGACACAGGACUUUACUGUGUCCCAGUGAGGAAAAGGUGUUUUUAUGAGAAGAAGUAAAAACACUUGUAACAACCACAACACUAUUUAAUGGUGUCGUUUUCCAGGGCAAAAGUCACACUCCACACUUGCAACGUGAUGUAUCUUAUAUGUCUUAUAACUUAACCUGCUACUGCAGGUUCAUGUUCUGGUCCCCAUUGACAAUAAAGCAAUAUAGCUGAUUGGGGAUAGUAGAAAC